UACGGGGGGGGCAAGCGUUGUUCGGAAUUACUGGGCGUAAAGGGCUCGUAGGUGGCCAACUAAGUCAGACGUGAAAUCCCUCGGCUUAACCGGGGAACUGCGUCUGAUACUGGAUGGCUUGAGUUCGGGAGAGGGAUGCGGAAUUCCAGGUGUAGCGGUGAAAUGCGUAGAUAUCUGGAGGAACACCAAUUGCGAAGGCAGCUCGCUGGGACGUUACUGACGCUGAGACGCGAAAGCGUGGGGAGCAAACAGG
This 253-nucleotide ribosomal RNA is filed under the name uncultured bacterium. Its description in RNAcentral is "partial 16S ribosomal RNA". It matches the Rfam family "Bacterial small subunit ribosomal RNA", at positions 524 to 776 of the family's 1533-position model. The record is from RNAcentral.